RNAcentral lists this ribosomal RNA (324 nucleotides) under uncultured bacterium. RNAcentral describes it as "bacterial SSU rRNA". It matches the Rfam family "Bacterial small subunit ribosomal RNA", at positions 28 to 334 of the family's 1533-position model. The record is from RNAcentral.
GACGAACGCUGGCGGCGUGCCUAACACAUGCAAGUCGAACGAAGCUUGAAGAUUGAUUCUUCGGAUGAAAUCUGAUAUGACUGAGUGGGCGACGGGUGAAGUACGCGUAGAGCAACCUGCCCUUCGGAGGGGGAUAGUGUCUGGAAACGGACAGUAAUACCGCAUAACGUAUUUUUACCGCAUGAUAGAAAUACCAAAACUGAGGUGCCGAAGGAUGGGCUCGCGUUGGAUUAGAUAGUUGGUGGGGUAACGGCCUACCAAGUCGACGAUCCAUAGCCGGACUAAGAGGUUGAACGGCCACAUUGGGACUGAGACACGGCCCAG